Molecule: RNA transcript, 3451 nt
Organism: Gossypium raimondii (Peruvian cotton)
Lineage: Eukaryota; Viridiplantae; Streptophyta; Magnoliopsida; Malvales; Malvaceae
Gene name: origin of replication complex subunit 2-like
Exons: 8
Source: RefSeq, a predicted model, not a curated record
UUUUUCCCAAAUUUCCCCCCUAAAACCCCUAACUUUAUCAUUCUUCUUCUUUCCUUUAGUACACGGGGCUUUGCACAUGACGAACACCGUGAAACAUCAACGGAGACGCUCCGCCAUUAAAUCCAUGUUUGGCAAACAUCGAGCUUCGAUAAUUUUCAAAUCAAGGUCGCCAUGCAAAAAUACAACAGGAUCCGGAGCAUCUUCCCCUAUUGAAUCAAAUUGAGAAAUAAAGAAAAAUUAUUCAAAGACGGUCAAUGAGAAAAAUGAAGAUGAUAAAUAGCAAUGUAAAAGGUAGGCAAGGUAGGUUAUAGCAGCUUGAAAAUAAAAUUGUUUUUGUUUUUAGUAAUUAAUUAGUGUUCAUAUUGGUGUUGGCAAUAACCGGAGAACAACAAAGUCACUGCCGUGUAGGGACGUUGUUUUCGAAACAUCAGAAUCCCAGUUUGUUUUCUCCGACUAAAGCCAACGUCCAUAACCGAAGGCUGUAACAGGGAGCGAAAUUUCAGAAGUUUACGGUUUUGUUUCUUUUUGGCUAAUGUGGUUCUGUUUAUCAUUAUUUGCCUUUGCUGGCUACUCUCUCAAUUCUUCUUUAUCAUUCUUGUUUUGGGUUUUCAUUUUUUUUUCUAAAUGACUGACAGCUUCGAUGCACCAUUUUUUUUGAACUAUUCUUUUUGCAGCGAUUGGGUUUAAUGUAGAGGCUCUACAAUACAACAACAUCAAGUUUCAAGUUUCAAGCACGGGAGCCAUGAGUAGCUAGUUCUCUAUUUCCUUACUUGGAGAUUGUAGUUCUUAGAGGAAAGAAAGAUUGAAAAAGCUGUUUGAUAUUUGUUCAAUUUUGACAAUUUUGAUAAACUGGUUUUCUUAUGUUGUUAGAUUAGGCUCUGGCUUUUAAGUAAUACGGAUAGGGAUGGAACUUGUGAGAGUUUGUCUUGAAGAAAAGAAUGAUGAUAUUUCAUCAGUUCCACCAGGUUUCGAGCCUCGUGCAUUAUUUACCUUAAAGAGUGAGGCACAGGAUACUAAAAGACAUGAGCGUGAUAAUUUGAUCUGCUGUUCAGCCUCUACUAGAGCCAUUCUAGUUGAAAAGGGAACUGGGUUGGCCAAUGAUGAAAGUUCAAAGAUUACAAGGUCAAUGUCUAUGAGGCGUCGACCUUGGAUAAACUAUGGUCAAUAUGAUAACAGUUCAGAAGAUGAACCCGAUCAUGGAAAGCUCAAUCAACUCAACUGCCGGGAACAACUCAAGAUCACUUGCAAAUAUUUAACAUAGAGAUGAAAGCAAAAAUGAAGUCACAUCAGAUGCCUGAACAUGUCAAAUUCAUUUGUUUUCUCAAAUUUUCUUUGUAAUGGUUCUAUUACAUUCGGCCAUUAGCUUUUGGGCUCUCGACCUUUAUUGUUUUCCUUGAUGGUAAACUUGAUUGCAUGAGUUUAUCAAACCAUCCUGGGUUCUUGUCUAGGUUGUAUUUUGGAAAUGGAUUUCCCCAAAAAUGCUUGGCCUAGUCACACAAACUUCUAUGUAUCAUCGGUCAAUUGAAGAUCAUUCUUCUCUUAUGUAGAAGCCAUUCAUUAGUAUAUUUCAAGGCUGCCAGAUUCAUUCCAGAUAAAGUUUUCAUGAAGCAAAAGAAAUGGGCAGUUCUGAGAAGAAAUUUGCUCGUAAACUCAGUGAGAUCAACGUCGUUGACGAACAGGAACUUAGAGAAGCUUCAGCUAAUAUUGAACCAAAGCAUCAAAACGACGUUGCAGAUUUAAUAAAUAGUUACAAAAGUUUAUACCCAAAAUGGGUUUUUGAUCUCAGGUAAUUUAAAACUCUUAUUUACUUAAUGGUGUAAUUUUGAAUUUCAUUGGAAACUUUAAUUUGUUAGAAUUUGAUCCUCUUAAUUUGCAAAAAUUGGAAAUUUGAUCCUGUUUUUGGUGCAUACAUGCACUUGAACAGUUGGUUUUUGCUAAUUUGUUUUGAUCUCCGAUAGUUUAAAACUCUUAUUUACUUAAUGGUGUAAGUCUGAAUUUCAUUGGAAACUUUAAUUUGUUAGACUUCCAUCCUCUUAUUUUAUAAAAAUUGAAAAUUUCAUUAGUAAAUACAUGAACUUGAACCAUUGAUUUUGUUAAUUUGUUGCAUAUAAAUCGUUAUAGAAAUUAAAGAUUUAGCCCUAUUUCCGUAAAUAUAUGAACUAUAAAUCGUUAAUUUUAAUUUAUUUACUAACCUUGUGUUUGAUUAGGUGAGGAAACCAAGUAGUUCAUUUACAAUGUGUGGUUCAAUGAUAUACACUAAGACCCCUUCAAGGGAAUCCUUAUGUGGAAAUGCGAGAUUAUAAUAUAUAUACAUUUGUUUCAAUUUAUUCUGUUGAGUUUACUUGAAAAUUUGUGGAAUUAUGUAUUACUUGCUUUAUUUUUUAAUAGCUUAUACUGUUAGUGAAUUAGAUAGAUUUACUCCCUAUUAUACCUAUAUCUAAGUUGAAAUUAUAUAUGCCUUUGCAUUCCAAAUAUGAAAAAUUGGAAAUUAGGCAUAGCCUAUUGAAAUUGGUGUUUUGAUAUGAAUGUGUUAUGCUUCUGUUUGUGCAAAUAUGUAUCGUACCAUGGUAGGAUAUUCAACAUUUGAGUUUGUGUUGAACAAAUAUGCAAUGGAAGUGUUUUGCAGGAUUAUCAAAGGAAUUCUCACCAAUAAGGUUUGUUUUACAUGAUUCUUUUAUGUGCAAUUGUUUUUACUAUCAAAUUCAUGCUCAUAUUUUAGUUUAAUAGCUUUUCAUUUUUGAGAUGGUUAUAAUGGGGGUUUUAUUCUACCAAUCAGUUGGUGGGUCUUUUUUUUGUCCUUUUUCAUUUUCUGCUUUUUUUUUUCUAGUUUUGUAAUGGUGAAUGCAGUAUGGUUGAUGGUUUUGUAGGGGAAGAAGUUCUAUUAAUGGGUAUUUACAAUUGAAGAGCGGUAAGGAUGGUAAGUCCCAUGAAAGGAGUGGACAAGAGACAAAUCAACAGAUGUGAAAUUAUAAAUACCAGCUUGAGCAAGAACCAGCUUUGUGCAGGAUUUAUAUCUCAUUCUCAUGCAACAUGCUACCACUUGGGUGAUACAGGUUAAAAAGUUGCAGCAGCAGUUGUAGGAAGAGACCGAUUUGCACUUAGCUCUAGCAAGUGCUGUUGAACAUUGUGGUUCACCUUCUUCUAGUUCUCCAGGCAAGCUUCCGGAUAAGCAAGCAUUACACCAGGGACUGUGUUGAUUUUGUUGGCUGGAAGGUUUAUGGGGAAGAGAGUUGUUUUCUUGAAGCAACUUACUUCUGGGCUCCUUUUGGUCACCGGUGGGCAUUACAUAUUUUACUGCUAUCCUUGUUUCGUCAUUGAUUUGCUUACUGCUUUAAAAUAUUGGAUGUAUGAUAUAUGUUAUUCAAUUGCGAGCUGGAUAUAUGGACAUGUUUGUUAAAACCCUUGUUAUUGAUUUCUGCAGUAUUACUUCCAUAGUUUCUCACUUGGUUUA